RNAcentral lists this ribosomal RNA (287 nucleotides) under Burkholderia ubonensis. RNAcentral's name for it is "partial 23S ribosomal RNA". It matches the Rfam family "Bacterial large subunit ribosomal RNA", at positions 2650 to 2925 of the family's 2925-position model. Lineage: Bacteria; Pseudomonadati; Pseudomonadota; Betaproteobacteria; Burkholderiales; Burkholderiaceae. The record is from RNAcentral.
GGCGUUGGAUAUUUGAAGGGGGCUGCUCCUAGUACGAGAGGACCGGAGUGGACGAACCUCUGGUGUACCGGUUGUGACGCCAGUCGCAUCGCCGGGUAGCUAUGUUCGGAAGAGAUAACCGCUGAAAGCAUCUAAGCGGGAAACUCGCCUUAAGAUGAGAUAUCCCUGGAGGCUUGACCUCCUUGAAGGGUCGUUCGAGACCAGGACGUUGAUAGGUCGGGUGUGUAAGCGCAGUAAUGCGUUCAGCUAACCGAUACUAAUUGCCCGUAAGGCUUGAUCCUAUAACA